Molecule: transfer RNA, 66 nt
Filed under: Apsilochorema hwangi
Lineage: Eukaryota; Metazoa; Arthropoda; Insecta; Trichoptera; Hydrobiosidae
Also listed under: 1 other name
Description: tRNA-Asp
Source: RNAcentral
UAAGAAUUAGUUAAAAAAUAACAUUAAUAUGUCAUAUUUAAAUUAUUGAAAUUUCAAUAUUCUUAU